Molecule: ribosomal RNA, 529 nt
Filed under: uncultured bacterium
Lineage: Bacteria
Description: bacterial SSU rRNA
Rfam family: Bacterial small subunit ribosomal RNA
Source: RNAcentral
AAUAGAUACCCGGGUAGUCCAUGCCGUAAACGUUGGGCACUAGGUGUGGGGCUCAUUCCACGAGUUCCGUGCCGCAGCAAACGCAUUAAGUGCCCCGCCUGGGGAGUACGGCCGCAAGGCUAAAACUCAAAGGAAUUAACGGGGGCCCGCACAAGCGGCGGAGCAUGCGGAUUAAUUCGAUGCAACGCGAAGAACCUUACCAAGGCUUGACAUGCACGGGAAGCCACCAGAGAUGGUGGUCUCUUUGGACACUCGUGCACAGGUGGUGCAUGGUUGUCGUCAGCUCGUGUCGUGAGAUGUUGGGUUAAGUCCCGCAACGAGCGCAACCCUCGUCCCAUGUUGCCAGCGGGUUAUGCCGGGGACUCAUGGGAGACUGCCGGGGUCAACUCGGAGGAAGGUGGGGAUGACGUCAAAUCAUCAUGCCCCUUAUGUCUUGGGCUUCACGCAUGCUACAAUGGCCGGUACAAAGGGCUGCGAUACCGUAAGGUGGAGCGAAUCCCAAAAAGCCGGUCUCAGUUCGGAUUGGGGU